Molecule: transfer RNA, 73 nt
Filed under: Bos taurus (domestic cattle)
Lineage: Eukaryota; Metazoa; Chordata; Mammalia; Artiodactyla; Bovidae
Also listed under: 5 other names
Rfam family: tRNA
About the family: Transfer RNA (tRNA) molecules are approximately 80 nucleotides in length.
Source: Rfam by way of RNAcentral
UCCCUGAUGGUCCAGUGGUUAAGACUCCAUAGUCCCAAUGCAGGGGGCCCAGGUUCAAUCCCUGGUUGGGGUA